Molecule: ribosomal RNA, 464 nt
Filed under: uncultured bacterium
Lineage: Bacteria
Description: partial 16S ribosomal RNA
Rfam family: Bacterial small subunit ribosomal RNA
Source: RNAcentral
GACGAACGCUGGCGGCGUGCUUAACACAUGCAAGUCGAACGGUAAGGCCCCAGCUUGCUGGGGUACACGAGUGGCGAACGGGUGAGUAACACGUGGGUGACCUGCCCCGCACUUCGGGAUAAGCCUGGGAAACUGGGUCUAAUACCGGAUAGGACCGCACCGUGAGGGUGUGGUGGAAAGUUUUUCGGUGUGGGAUGGGCCCGCGGCCUAUCAGCUUGUUGGUGGGGUAAUGGCCUACCAAGGCGGCGACGGGUAGCCGGCCUGAGAGGGUGGACGGCCACAUUGGGACUGAGACACGGCCCAGACUCCUACGGGAGGCGGCAGUGGGGAAUAUUGCACAAUGGGCGGAAGCCUGAUGCAGCGACGCCGCGUGGGGGAUGACGGCCUUCGGGUUGUAAACUCCUUUCACCAUCGACGAAGGUUUUCUGACGGUAGAUGGAGAAGAAGCACCGGCUAACUACGUG